This 1432-nucleotide ribosomal RNA is filed under the name Bacillus sp. (in: firmicutes). RNAcentral's name for it is "bacterial SSU rRNA". It matches the Rfam family "Bacterial small subunit ribosomal RNA". Lineage: Bacteria; Bacillati; Bacillota; Bacilli; Caryophanales; Bacillaceae. The record is from RNAcentral.
ACGCUGGCGGCGUGCCUAAUACAUGCAAGUCGAGCGGACAGAUGGGAGCUUGCUCCCUGAUGUUAGCGGCGGACGGGUGAGUAACACGUGGGUAACCUGCCUGUAAGACUGGGAUAACUCCGGGAAACCGGGGCUAAUACCGGAUGGUUGUUUGAACCGCAUGGUUCAAACAUAAAAGGUGGCUUCGGCUACCACUUACAGAUGGACCCGCGGCGCAUUAGCUAGUUGGUGAGGUAAUGGCUCACCAAGGCAACGAUGCGUAGCCGACCUGAGAGGGUGAUCGGCCACACUGGGACUGAGACACGGCCCAGACUCCUACGGGAGGCAGCAGUAGGGAAUCUUCCGCAAUGGACGAAAGUCUGACGGAGCACGCCGCGUGAGUGAUGAAGGUUUUCGGAUCGUAAAGCUCUGUUGUUAGGGAAGAACAAGUACCGUUCGAAUAGGGCGGUACCUUGACGGUACCUAACCAGAAAGCCACGGCUAACUACGUGCCAGCAGCCGCGGUAAUACGUAGGUGGCAAGCGUUGUCCGGAAUUAUUGGGCGUAAAGGGCUCGCAGGCGGUUUCUUAAGUCUGAUGUGAAAGCCCCCGGCUCAACCGGGGAGGGUCAUUGGAAACUGGGGAACUUGAGUGCAGAAGAGGAGAGUGGAAUUCCACGUGUAGCGGUGAAAUGCGUAGAGAUGUGGAGGAACACCAGUGGCGAAGGCGACUCUCUGGUCUGUAACUGACGCUGAGGAGCGAAAGCGUGGGGAGCGAACAGGAUUAGAUACCCUGGUAGUCCACGCCGUAAACGAUGAGUGCUAAGUGUUAGGGGGUUUCCGCCCCUUAGUGCUGCAGCUAACGCAUUAAGCACUCCGCCUGGGGAGUACGGUCGCAACACUGAAACUCAGACGAAUUGACGGGGGCCCGCACAAGCGGUGGAGCAUGUGGUUUACUUCGAAGCAACGCAAAAGAACCUUACCAGGUCUUGACGGGCUCUGACCCUCCUAGAGAUAAGACGUCCCCUUCUGGGGCAGAGCAACAGGGGGUGCAUGGUUGUCGUCAGCUCGUGUCGUGAGAUGUUGGGUUAAGUCCCGCAACGAGCGCAACCCUUGAUCUUAGUUGCCAGCAUUCAGUUGGGCACUCUAAGGUGACUGCCGGUGACAAACCGGAGGAAGGUGGGGAUGACGUCAAAUCAUCAUGCCCCUUAUGACCUGGGCUACACACGUGCUACAAUGGACAGAACAAAGGGCAGCGAAACCGCGAGGUUAAGCCAAUCCCACAAAUCUGUUCUCAGUUCGGAUCGCAGUCUGCAACUCGACUGCGUGAAGCUGGAAUCGCUAGUAAUCGCGGAUCAGCAUGCCGCGGUGAAUACGUUCCCGGGCCUUGUACACACCGCCCGUCACACCACGAGAGUUUGUAACACCCGAAGUCGGUGAGGUAACCUUUUAGGA